RNAcentral lists this ribosomal RNA (425 nucleotides) under uncultured Paenibacillus sp. RNAcentral's name for it is "bacterial SSU rRNA". It matches the Rfam family "Bacterial small subunit ribosomal RNA", at positions 355 to 774 of the family's 1533-position model. Lineage: Bacteria; Bacillati; Bacillota; Bacilli; Caryophanales; Paenibacillaceae. The record is from RNAcentral.
UAGGGAAUCUUCCGCAAUGGACGAAAGUCUGACGGAGCAACGCCGCGUGAGUGAGGAAGGCCUUCGGGUCGUAAAGCUCUGUUGCCAGGGAAGAACGCCAAGGAGAGUAACUGCCCCUUGGGUGACGGUACCUGAGAAGAAAGCCCCGGCUAACUACGUGCCAGCAGCCGCGGUAAUACGUAGGGGGCGAGCGUUGUCCGGAAUUAUUGGGCGUAAAGCGCGCGCAGGCGGCUUUGUAAGUCUUGUGUCUAAACCCGGGGCUCAACCCCGGGGAGCACGGGAAACUGCAAGGCUUGAGUGCAGAAGAGGAAAGUGGAAUUCCACGUGUAGCGGUGAAAUGCGUAGAGAUGUGGAGGAACACCAGUGGCGAAGGCGACUUUCUGGCUGUAACUGACGCUGAGGCGCGAAAGCGUGGGGAGCAAACA